Molecule: RNA transcript, 842 nt
Organism: Magnolia sinica
Lineage: Eukaryota; Viridiplantae; Streptophyta; Magnoliopsida; Magnoliales; Magnoliaceae
Gene name: vacuolar protein sorting-associated protein 32 homolog 2-like
Exons: 6
Source: RefSeq, a predicted model, not a curated record
GGGGCGUUUUCCUGUUUCCCGCUCCGUUGUCUGCUCGUCUCGAUCGUCUCUCUUCCCCUAUCAACAAAGACCGUAUAAAUAUACGAUCCAACCGUACAUACGCUCUUUUCAGUACUCUUCUUCUCCGUAAAAUCAUGUUUUCCAGGCUCUUCCGCAAAUGCACAGAAGAAACCCAUCACCUCUCCUCCUCCCAUACGCUCCAGCAGGGGAUUUUGACCACUCCUAUUUCAUUGUUUGGAGAGGAAAGGGGAUUUGGGGGUGGAAAUUGAGAUCAAGAGCGUGUGGCACUGGAACUCAAAUUAACUCUGGAAGUGUUGGAGGAAAAGGAGAAUGUUUUGCAAAAGAAGAUCUCCAUAGAGGUUGAGAGGGCAAAAGAAUUCACAAGGGCUAAAAAUAAACAAGCUGCACUACAGUGUUUGAAGAGGAAGAAGUUCUAUGAAGGCCAAAUGGAGCACCUUGGAAAUUUUCAACUACGUAUUCAUGAUCAGGAGGAAAAGCUACCACAGAAGCUGCCAACACAUUGUGGACAGGUGCAAAGAGUAAAGGAUAGUGUGAAAAAGACCUAUACAAAAAGCUCGCAGCUUGAGCUGGAACCCAGCGGCAACUAUUCUGGUGCUUUAGUGCCCUACAAGUGAGCAGAAACUAAAGGUAAGUGCAGGCGUCCAUCACUUGGAAUAGUUGUGAUUUCUCAUGAAGAGGUAGCGCCUCAGUAGUCUAAUUCUCAAGUGUAUGUAUAUAUUCAAGAAAUUUUUUAGAGGAAGUUGAUGAUUGAUGUUUGUAAUCUUGUUCCUUCUAUUAAAAAAAUUCAUGUUUCUGAUGGGCAAGCAACAGCAAAGAAUUCA